GGAUAUGGAAACUUGGCAUGAUUUAAGGGCGAUAAUUUAGGCUAGAUUUACUUUUAUUUCUAAAGGGGAACCUAGAUGAACAAUUUAGGCUAGAUUAUCUUUAUUUCUAAAGGGGUAAUGAGCUGAUUAGUGGUCUAUCUACCUAAAAUAAGUUACCUACACAUGUAUAAAUACCCAUCUUCCUCAUUCGGAAGAACACACACAACAUACGACACAACUCUCAACACUUAGAC
This 233-nucleotide long non-coding RNA is filed under the name Helianthus annuus (common sunflower). RNAcentral's name for it is "sRNA HanXRQr2_Chr03g0088291". Lineage: Eukaryota; Viridiplantae; Streptophyta; Magnoliopsida; Asterales; Asteraceae. The record is from RNAcentral.